GGAGGAGAACGAAAUAAAAUACUUCUGUAGUUCACGCAGUAACCGAGGACACUAGGGUGGCGGGAGUUUACUCUUUCCGUGCAGUGGGUAACACAGUAAGUGUCCCGGCUGGGGAGUACCGCGGCAAGCCUAAAAAUCAAAGAAAUUGACGGGGGCCCGCACAAGCAACGGAGCGUGUGAUUUAAUUCGACGCAUCGCUCAUCACCUUACCAAGGCUUGACAUCCCAGGAACCCGUCCGAAAGGGUGGCAUGCCCUUCGGGAACCGUGCGACAGGUGGGGCAUGCAGUUGGUCAGCUUGUGUUGUGAGAUGUUGGGCUAAGUCCGGCAACGAGCGCAACCCUUGUUCUUAGUUGCCAGCGAGUAAUGGCGGGAACUUUAAGGAGACUGCCGGUGACAAACCGGAGGAAGGUGGGGAUGAUGUCAAGUCAUCAUGGCCCUUACGGCCAGGGCUACACACGUACUCCAAUGGUGGGGACAGAGGGUGGCGAAGCCGCGAGGGGGACCAAUCCCAGAAACCCCAUCCUAGUCCGGAUCGGAUUAUGCAACUUGAUUCCGCGAAGUUGGAAUCGUUAGUAAUCGCAGAUCAGCAUUGCCGCGGUGAAUACGUUCCCGGG
RNAcentral lists this ribosomal RNA (615 nucleotides) under uncultured bacterium. RNAcentral's name for it is "bacterial SSU rRNA". It matches the Rfam family "Bacterial small subunit ribosomal RNA", at positions 764 to 1378 of the family's 1533-position model. The record is from RNAcentral.